Molecule: ribosomal RNA, 440 nt
Filed under: uncultured bacterium
Lineage: Bacteria
Description: partial 16S ribosomal RNA
Rfam family: Bacterial small subunit ribosomal RNA
Source: RNAcentral
CCUACGGGUGGCAGCAGUGGGGAAUAUUGCACAAUGGGGGAAACCCUGAUGCAGCGACGCCGCGUGAGUGAAGAAGUAAUUCGUUAUGUAAAGCUCUAUCAGCAGGGAAGAAAAUGACGGUACCUGUGUAAGAAGCCCCUGCUAACUACGUCCCAGCAGCCGCGGUAAUACGUAGGGGGCAAGCGUUAUCAGGAUUUACUGGGUGUAAAGGGAGCGUAGACGGCAGUGCAAGUCUGGAGUGAAAGGCGGGGGCUCAACCCCCGGACUGCUCUGGAAACUGUACGGCUUGAGUGCAGGAGAGGUAAGUGGAAUUCCUGGUGUAGCGGUGAAAUGCGUAGAUAUUAGGAGGAACACCAGUGGCGAAGGCGGCUUACUGGACUGUAACUGACGUUGAGGCUCGAAAGCGUGGGGAGCAAACAGGAUUAGAUACCCCAGUAGUC